Molecule: ribosomal RNA, 1567 nt
Filed under: Escherichia coli
Lineage: Bacteria; Pseudomonadati; Pseudomonadota; Gammaproteobacteria; Enterobacterales; Enterobacteriaceae
Description: partial 23S ribosomal RNA
Rfam family: Bacterial large subunit ribosomal RNA
Source: RNAcentral
CGAAUGCUGACAUAAGUAACGAUAAAGCGGGUGAAAAGCCCGCUCGCCGGAAGACCAAGGGUUCCUGUCCAACGUUAAUCGGGGCAGGGUGAGUCGACCCCUAAGGCGAGGCCGAAAGGCGUAGUCGAUGGGAAACAGGUUAAUAUUCCUGUACUUGGUGUUACUGCGAAGGGGGGACGGAGAAGGCUAUGUUGGCCGGGCGACGGUUGUCCCGGUUUAAGCGUGUAGGCUGGUUUUCCAGGCAAAUCCGGAAAAUCAAGGCUGAGGCGUGAUGACGAGGCACUACGGUGCUGAAGCAACAAAUGCCCUGCUUCCAGGAAAAGCCUCUAAGCAUCAGGUAACAUCAAAUCGUACCCCAAACCGACACAGGUGGUCAGGUAGAGAAUACCAAGGCGCUUGAGAGAACUCGGGUGAAGGAACUAGGCAAAAUGGUGCCGUAACUUCGGGAGAAGGCACGCUGAUAUGUAGGUGAAGUCCCUCGCGGAUGGAGCUGAAAUCAGUCGAAGAUACCAGCUGGCUGCAACUGUUUAUUAAAAACACAGCACUGUGCAAACACGAAAGUGGACGUAUACGGUGUGACGCCUGCCCGGUGCCGGAAGGUUAAUUGAUGGGGUCAGCGCAAGCGAAGCUCUUGAUCGAAGCCCCGGUAAACGGCGGCCGUAACUAUAACGGUCCUAAGGUAGCGAAAUUCCUUGUCGGGUAAGUUCCGACCUGCACGAAUGGCGUAAUGAUGGCCAGGCUGUCUCCACCCGAGACUCAGUGAAAUUGAACUCGCUGUGAAGAUGCAGUGUACCCGCGGCAAGACGGAAAGACCCCGUGAACCUUUACUAUAGCUUGACACUGAACAUUGAGCCUUGAUGUGUAGGAUAGGUGGGAGGCUUUGAAGUGUGGACGCCAGUCUGCAUGGAGCCGACCUUGAAAUACCACCCUUUAAUGUUUGAUGUUCUAACGUGGACCCGUGAUCCGGGUUGCGGACAGUGUCUGGUGGGUAGUUUGACUGGGGCGGUCUCCUCCUAAAGAGUAACGGAGGAGCACGAAGGUUGGCUAAUCCUGGUCGGACAUCAGGAGGUUAGUGCAAUGGCAUAAGCCAGCUUGACUGCGAGCGUGACGGCGCGAGCAGGUGCGAAAGCAGGUCAUAGUGAUCCGGUGGUUCUGAAUGGAAGGGCCAUCGCUCAACGGAUAAAAGGUACUCCGGGGAUAACAGGCUGAUACCGCCCAAGAGUUCAUAUCGACGGCGGUGUUUGGCACCUCGAUGUCGGCUCAUCACAUCCUGGGGCUGAAGUAGGUCCCAAGGGUAUGGCUGUUCGCCAUUUAAAGUGGUACGCGAGCUGGGUUUAGAACGUCGUGAGACAGUUCGGUCCCUAUCUGCCGUGGGCGCUGGAGAACUGAGGGGGGCUGCUCCUAGUACGAGAGGACCGGAGUGGACGCAUCACUGGUGUUCGGGUUGUCAUGCCAAUGGCACUGCCCGGUAGCUAAAUGCGGAAGAGAUAAGUGCUGAAAGCAUCUAAGCACGAAACUUGCCCCGAGAUGAGUUCUCCCUGACCCUUUAAGGGUCCUGAAGGAACGU